AUUAAUUUAUUAAUUCCUCCUGUAACGAUAUUGAUUUUCUCUUCCAAAUCAAAAUCGGAGAACUCAAUUCGAUCAUCUGGUUUCUCGUUACUUUGUGUCUUCGAUUGCCUUGAAUUUGUUCCUCUCUUGAUUGGAUUUUUGUUCUAUCGGUGGAAAUCAGAUCUCAGCUCGGUUCGAUGUUAUCUUUUUCUAUCUUCAAAGCUUUCUCUUCUUCAGUACUCGAGAUUGUUUAGGUUUUGUACCGUAGAAAUUUCUUAAAUUUGUUGUGUUGAUGACUAAACUGCUCGAUAUCUAAGAAUGAUUUUAAAUUUCGUUUAAGGAUGAUGAUGAAUUCGCGAAGAAGUUUGAGGUAAGGUUCUCAGUGGUGAAUCUUCAAUUUCAGAAAGCAUAACUUGAGUUUAAGAGUUGGAUGGAGAUGCAGAGGAAGAGCAUAUUAAGGUGGGACACAGACGAUUAACGAAAUUCUAUAAUCCAGGAGUUUAUGUGGAUAGAUGACACAUGUAAGGAGAGAAGGCAGAAGCAAGAUUCAUCAAGAUUCAGGCUGUAUACGAACUGCUCAUGGACUCAGACAAAAGAAGACCAUAUGAUAUGGAUACCCAUGAAGAACUCAGAACUCAGUGAACGGACCGAAAGAUAAUCUUCAUAUCGUGACUACUGCUCUUUAAAUUCAUACUGGAUCAAACAACCAAUUCCAGGUGACCACCAUAGAUGGGAAUGUGAUCAAUGGAACACAAAAUUUAGCAAAAUGAUGCAGAAGAGUCAAUUUCCAAUUUCCACAAACAGACAGAAUGAUGCAGAAGUAGAAGCUGGCAAGAAUGUUACGACACAAUAGUAGAUUUAAUGAUUUUUUUUUUGGUUUUGUUUGAGUUUUGAAAUCACGAUUUAGAAUCUUAGAUCUUACGUUUUGUGUUUUAUCUGUAUAGUUGAUUGUUAAACUAUAAUUUUAUUAAUUUUUUUUGUCAAGUUUGA
This is a long non-coding RNA of Eutrema salsugineum, 969 nucleotides long. RefSeq lists it as uncharacterized. The record is from RefSeq and is a predicted model, not a curated record. The transcript is spliced from 5 exons. NCBI's taxonomy places the organism in Eukaryota, Viridiplantae, Streptophyta, Magnoliopsida, Brassicales, Brassicaceae.